GAAACAGAUGCUAAUACCGGAUAACAACCCUAGACGCAUGUCUAGAGUUUAAAAGAUGGUUCUGCUAUCACUCUUGGAUGGACCUGCGGUGCAUUAGCUAGUUGGUAAGGUAACGGCUUACCAAGGCAAUGAUGCAUUGCCGAGUUGAGAGACUGAUCGGCCACAUUGGGACUGAGACACGGCCCAAACUCCUACGGGAGGCAGCAGUAGGGAAUCUUCCACAAUGGACGCAAGUCUGAUGGAGCAACGCCGCGUGAGUGAAGAAGGGUUUCGGCUCGUAAAGCUCUGUUGGUAGUGAAGAAAGAUAGAGGUAGUAACUGCCUUUAU
Molecule: ribosomal RNA, 327 nt
Filed under: Lactobacillus gasseri
Lineage: Bacteria; Bacillati; Bacillota; Bacilli; Lactobacillales; Lactobacillaceae
Description: bacterial SSU rRNA
Rfam family: Bacterial small subunit ribosomal RNA
Source: RNAcentral